RNAcentral lists this ribosomal RNA (263 nucleotides) under uncultured bacterium. RNAcentral describes it as "partial 16S ribosomal RNA". It matches the Rfam family "Bacterial small subunit ribosomal RNA", at positions 333 to 612 of the family's 1533-position model. The record is from RNAcentral.
AGGAUCCUACGGGACGCAGCAGUGGGGAAUAUUGCACAAUGGGGGAAACCCUGAUGCAGCGACGCCGCGUGAGUGAAGAAGUAUUUCGGUAUGUAAAGCUCUAUCAGCAGGAACGAGACAAGACGGUACCUGACUAAGAAGCCCCGGCUAACUACGUGCCAGCAGCCGCGGUAAUACGUAGGGGGCAAGCGUUAUCCGGAAUCACUGGUUGUAAAGGGAGCGUAGACGGCUGAGCAAGCCUGAAGUGAAAGGCAGGGGCCCAA